This 330-nucleotide ribosomal RNA is filed under the name bacterium MSU BA5. Its description in RNAcentral is "bacterial SSU rRNA". It matches the Rfam family "Bacterial small subunit ribosomal RNA", at positions 36 to 348 of the family's 1533-position model. The record is from RNAcentral.
UAAAUUUUUCCUGGCGGCCGUGCUUAAUAAUGCAAGUCGAGCGGACAGAUGGGGAGCUUGCUCCCUGAUGUUAGCGGCGGACGGGUGAGUAACACGUGGGUAACCUGCCUGUAAGACUGGGAUAACUCCGGGAAACCGGGGCUAAUACCGGAUGGUUGUUUGAACCGCAUGGUUCAGACAUAAAAGGUGGCUUCGGCUACCACUUACAGAUGGACCCGCGGCGCAUUAGCUAGUUGGUGAGGUAACGGCUCACCAAGGCAACGAUGCGUAGCCGACCUAAAAUGUGAUCUCCACACUGGAAAAAAACACGGCCCAGACUCCUACGGGAGG